AAUUUUUGCAGUCCAGUGCCAGUGUUCAGAAUCAUGAAUUCCUUUUAGUGCACCAUUUGCAGCGUGCCAAUUAUGUGCCUGCCUUGAAGCUGAACCAAACUCUGAAGAUUAAUGUUAUGAAUGAUCGUGAUCCUCGUUUGCGGGAGAGAUCACUGGCUCGAAAUUCUAUAUUAGACCAGUAUGGAAAAAUCCUUCCUAGAGUCCAUCGAAAAUUAGCUGUUGAACGAGCUAAGCCUUAUCAUCUGUCAACAUCAUCAGUUUUUCGAUUAGUUUCUAGACCCAAACCAUUAUCAGCAGUUCCAAAGCAAGUUGUAACAGGAACUGUGUUGACAAGAUCUGUUUUCAUCAACAAUGUGUUAUCUAAAAUUGGAGAAGUUUGGGCAAGCAAAGAACCUAUAAAUAGCACCACAUCUUACAAUAGUUCUAAAAUAGAAGAACCAUCUCCUAUAGUGUAUUCGCUCCCAGCUCCAGAGCUACCUGAGGCAUUUUUUGGAACACCAAUUUCAAAAGCAUCACAAAAAAUUUCUAGACUGCUAGAUUUGGUUGUUCAGCCUGUCCCCCGGCCUUCUCAGUGUUCGGAGUUUAUUCAGCAAAGCUCCAUGAAAUCUCCUUUGUACCUAGUAUCCCGUUCACUGCCCUCAAGUUCACAAUUAAAAGGAUCGCCUCAGGCCAUCUCCAGGGCUUCAGAAUUACAUUUGCUUGAAACUCCUCUUGUAGUUAAGAAAGCUAAAAGUUUGGCCAUGUCAGUUACUACUUCUGGAUUUUCUGAGUUCACUCCUCAGUCCAUCCUGAGGUCUACUCUUCGAUCAACACCUUUAGCAUCUCCCUCUCCAUCACCUGGAAGGUCUCCUCAACGACUCAAAGAAACUAGAAUUUCAUUUGUGGAAGAAGAUGUCGACCCAAAAUGGAUUCCUGGGGCUGCAGGUGAUAGCAAAUUAGAAGUAUUUACUACACCUAAAAAAUGUGCAGUUCCAGCGGAAACUGAAUGGCUGAAGAGCAAAGAUAGGACCACAUCUUUUUUCCUGAACAGCCCUGAAAAGGAGCAUCAAGAAAUGGAUGUGGGGUCACAAAGUUUAGAGAAACUGGAUGUGAGCAAAGGAAACAGCAGUGUUUCAAUCACAUCCGAUGAGACUACCUUAGAGUAUCAGGAUGCACCGUCACCGGAAGACCUUGAAGAGACUGUUUUCACGGCCUCUAAGCCCAAAAGCUCUUCCACUGCACUAACUACUAAUGUAACUGAACAAACUGAAAAGGAUGGAGGUAAAGAUGUAUUUGCAUCAGAACUAACUCCUUCAGACCUGCAGAAACAAAUGGGCAAUUUAGAAGAUGCAGAAACAAAGGAUCUCUUAGUUGCAGCAGAGGCAUUUUCAGAAUUAAAUCACUUAAGCCCCAUUCAAGGAACUGAAGCUUCUCUUUGUGCACCAUCAGUCUAUGAAGGGAAAGUCUUCACCCAGAAGUCCAAGGUACCAGUGUCGGACGAAGGAUUAACAUCUGUUGAAACCUACACCUCUGCAAUUAGAGCAAAUGACAAUACAUCUAUGGCUGAUGUCCUUGGUGAUAGUGGAAACUCCUCGCUCACUAUCUCUGAAGGUCCUGUUGUCUCUGAGCACAGGCUUAACCAGGAAGUAGCGCAGAACUUAAAAGAAGAUCAUGAAGUAGAAGUUGGUGUACUAAAAGAAAGUGUUGCCUUACCAGAAGAAAAGCUUCCAAUUUCUGACAGCCCUCCUGAUACUCAAGAAAUUCAUGUAAAUGCAAGGACCAUUCCUUCUUCCACCAAACCCUUGCAGGAGAGGUACUGAACUUGAAAGCCUUAGGAAUUUCAUGGUUUAUGCAGCCCCAGCAAAGGGAAGAGGAUUGAGUCUAGCCCAAGGGAGCUUAUGUGAUUGAACAGGAAAAGCUUGAAGCUCAAGAUUCAGGAGAAGAGGCUAGGAAUCUUUCAUUUAAUGAGUUAUAUCCCUCUGGAACACUUAAGCUUCAGUACAAUUUUGAUACUAUUGACCAACAGUUUUGUGACUUAGCCGAUAAUAAAGACACUGCUGAAUGUGACAUUGCUGAAGUAGAUGGGGAACUUUUUGUGGCUCAAAGCAACUUUACCUUGAUAUUGGAAGGUGAAGAAGGAGAAGUUGAGCCAAGUGAUUUUGCAUCAUCUGAUGUGUUACCUAAAGCAGCUAACACAGCAACUGAAGAAAAACUUGUAUGCAGUGGGGAAAAUGAUAAUCAUGGACAAGUUGCAAAUUUGCCAUCUGCCAUAACUAGUGACCAAAAGUCCCAAAAAGUAGAGACUUUACCAUAUGUGCCUGAACCUAUUAAAGUAGCAAUUGCAGAAAAUUUACUAGAUGUAAUUAAAGACACAAGAAGUAAAGAAAUUACUUCAGAUACAAUGGAACAGUCCGUUCAUGAAACGAUACCUUUAGUGAGCCAAAACAUAAUGUGUCCCACUGAAUUAGUCAAAUCUGCACUUAAGACUGCUCAGAAAACAAGCACAAUGACUAUGAAUGUCAGCCAGGUUGAUGACAUGGUUUCCUCCAAAACUCGUACGAGAGGACAACGUAUCCAAAACGUUAAUGUCAAAUCAGCACAACAGGAAGCAUCAGCAGAUGUUGCUACUCCUAAGAUGCCAGGGCAGUCAGUUAGGAAGAAAACUAGGAAGGCAAAAGAAAUUUCUGAAGCUUCUGAAAACACCUAUUCUGAUGUCAGAGGAAUAUCUCAGAACCAGCAAAUACCUCAAAAUUCUAUUACGCCUAGGAGAGGAAGGAGAAAGAAAGAAGUUAAUCAGGACAUACUAGAAAACACCAGUUCUGUGGAACAAGAAUUACAGAUCACUACAGGUAGGGAAUCAAAAAGAUUAAAAUCAUCUCAGCUGUUGGAACCAGCAGUUGAAGAAACUAUUAAAAAAGAAGUUAAGGUUUCAUCUGUUACAAAAAGGACUCCUAGAAGAAUUAAAAGAUCUGUAGAAAAUCAGGAAAGUGUUGAAAUUAUAAAUGAUCUAAAAGUUAGUACAGUAACAAGUCCUAGCAGAACGAUCAGAAAAUUGAGAAGUGCUAAUUUAGAUGCUUCUGAAAAUACAGGAAAUAAGCAAGAUGAUAAAUCCAGUGACGAGCAGCUGCCUGUUAAACGUAUUAGAAGGGUCAGAGGGAGAGAAGUUAGUCCAUCAGAUGUGAGAGAAGACUCCAACCUUGAGUCAUCUCAGUUGACUCUUCAAGCAGAAUUUGAUAUGUCUGCCACACCUAGAAAACGUGGUAGACCAAGAAAAAUCAAUCCAUCUGAAGAUGUAGGAUCUAAGGCUGUUAAGGAAGAGAGAAGCCCCAAGAAGAAAGAAGCUCCCAGCAUUAAAAGGAGAUCUACAAGAAAUGCCCCAGCUAAAAGUGAAAAUAUUGAUGUUGGAAAACCAGCUUUAGGAAAAUCCAUUUUAGUGCCAAACGAGGAACUUUUGAUGGUGAUGAACUCUAAG
This 3451-nucleotide small RNA is filed under the name Pongo abelii (Sumatran orangutan). Its description in RNAcentral is "processed transcript". Lineage: Eukaryota; Metazoa; Chordata; Mammalia; Primates; Hominidae. The record is from RNAcentral.